GAAUAUUGCGCAAUGGAGGGAACUCUGACGCAGCGACGCCGCGUGAGCGAUGAAGGUCUUCGGAUCGUAAAGCUCUGUCCUUGGGGAAGAAGGUCUUCGGACUUGACGGUACCUAAGGAGGAAGCCCCGGCUAACUACGUGCCAGCAGCCGCGGUAAUACGUAGGGGGCAAGCGUUGUCCGGAAUUAUUGGGCGUAAAGGGUGCGUAGGCGGUCAUAUAAGUUUUAUGUGAAAUACCUGGGCUUAACCCAGGGGUUGCAUAAAAAACUAUAUAACUAGAGUACAGGAGAGGCAAGUGGAAUUCCUAGUGUAGCGGUGAAAUGCAUAGAUAUUAGGAGGAACACCAGUGGCGAAGGCGACUUGCUGGACUGUAACUGACGCUGAGGCACGAAAGCGUGGGGAGCAAACA
RNAcentral lists this ribosomal RNA (408 nucleotides) under uncultured bacterium. RNAcentral's name for it is "partial 16S ribosomal RNA". It matches the Rfam family "Bacterial small subunit ribosomal RNA", at positions 359 to 774 of the family's 1533-position model. The record is from RNAcentral.